Molecule: transfer RNA, 62 nt
Filed under: Allium dregeanum
Lineage: Eukaryota; Viridiplantae; Streptophyta; Magnoliopsida; Asparagales; Amaryllidaceae
Description: partial tRNA-Phe
Rfam family: tRNA (bases 22-62)
About the family: Transfer RNA (tRNA) molecules are approximately 80 nucleotides in length. Their secondary structure includes four short double-helical elements and three loops (D, anti-codon, and T loops). Further hydrogen bonds mediate the characteristic L-shaped molecular structure. tRNAs have two regions of fundamental functional importance: the anti-codon, which is responsible for specific mRNA codon recognition, and the 3' end, to which the tRNAs corresponding amino acid is attached (by aminoacyl-tRNA synthetases). tRNAs cope with the degeneracy of the genetic code in two manners: having more than one tRNA (with a specific anti-codon) for a particular amino acid; and 'wobble' base-pairing, i.e. permitting non-standard base-pairing at the 3rd anti-codon position.
Source: RNAcentral
UUCAAAUUUUGUUCCUAAAUUGUUGGGAUAGCUCAGUUGGUAGAGCAGAGGACUGAAAAUCC